GGGCGGCGUGCCUAAUAGAUGCAAGUAGAACGCUGAAGACUUUAGCUUGCUAAAGUUGGAAGGGUUGCGAACGGGUGAGUAACGCGUAGGUAACCUGCCUACUAGCGGGGGAUAACUAUUGGAAACGAUAGCUAAUACCGCAUAACAGCAUUUAACCCAUGUUAGAUGCUUGAAAGGAGCAAUUGCUUCACUAGUAGAUGGACCUGCGUUGUAUUAGCUAGUUGGUGAGGUAACGGCUCACCAAGGCGACGAUACAUAGCCGACCUGAGAGGGUGAUCGGCCACACUGGGACUGAGACACGGCCCAGACUCCUACGGGAGGCAGCAGUAGGGAAUCUUCGGCAAUGGGGGCAACCCUGACCGAGCAACGCCGCGUGAGUGAAGAAGGUUUUCGGAUCGUAAAGCUCUGUUGUAAGAGAAGAACGUGUGUGAGAGUGGAAAGUUCACACAGUGACGGUAACUUACCAGAAAGGGACGGCUAACUACGUGCCAGCAGCCGCGGUAAU
This 505-nucleotide ribosomal RNA is filed under the name uncultured Streptococcus sp. RNAcentral's name for it is "bacterial SSU rRNA". It matches the Rfam family "Bacterial small subunit ribosomal RNA", at positions 38 to 524 of the family's 1533-position model. Lineage: Bacteria; Bacillati; Bacillota; Bacilli; Lactobacillales; Streptococcaceae. The record is from RNAcentral.